RNAcentral lists this transfer RNA (71 nucleotides) under Phrynosoma platyrhinos (Desert horned lizard). RNAcentral describes it as "tRNA-OTHER". It matches the Rfam family "tRNA". From Rfam's summary of the family: Transfer RNA (tRNA) molecules are approximately 80 nucleotides in length. Their secondary structure includes four short double-helical elements and three loops (D, anti-codon, and T loops). Further hydrogen bonds mediate the characteristic L-shaped molecular structure. tRNAs have two regions of fundamental functional importance: the anti-codon, which is responsible for specific mRNA codon recognition, and the 3' end, to which the tRNAs corresponding amino acid is attached (by aminoacyl-tRNA synthetases). tRNAs cope with the degeneracy of the genetic code in two manners: having more than one tRNA (with a specific anti-codon) for a particular amino acid; and 'wobble' base-pairing, i.e. permitting non-standard base-pairing at the 3rd anti-codon position. Lineage: Eukaryota; Metazoa; Chordata; Lepidosauria; Squamata; Phrynosomatidae. The record is from RNAcentral.
GCCAGCAUGGUCUAGUGGUCUGGGUGUUGGAUUAGGACUCUGGAGACCAGGGUUCAAAUCCCUGUUUGGCC